Molecule: ribosomal RNA, 514 nt
Filed under: uncultured bacterium
Lineage: Bacteria
Description: bacterial SSU rRNA
Rfam family: Bacterial small subunit ribosomal RNA
Source: RNAcentral
GAUUAUGGCUCAGAACGAACGCUGGCGGCGCGUCUUAAGCAUGCAAGUCGAACGGCAAGAGGUAGCAAUACCUCCUAGAGUGGCGGACUGGUGAGUAACACGUGGGUGACAUACCCUUCAGAUGGGGAUAGCUAUUAGAAAUAGUAGAUAAUACCGAAUACGAGCACAGGGGUUAGAGAUCUGUGAGGAAAGGAGCUAAGGCUCCGCUGAAGGAAUGGCCUGCGGCCCAUUAGCUAGUUGGUGAGGUAAGAGCCCACCAAGGCGAUGAUGGGUAUCCGGCCUUAGAGGGUGAACGGACACAUUGGGACUGAGAUACGGCCCAGACUCCUACGGGAGGCAGCAGCUAAGAAUAUUCCGCAAUGGACGAAAGUCUGACGGAGCGACGCCGCGUGGAUGAAGAAGGCCGGAAGGUUGUAAAAUCCUUUUGAAACUGAAGAAUAAGCGUUGUAGGGAAUGACAGCGUGGUGACAGUAGGUUUUGAAUAAGCAACGGCUAAUUACGUGCCAGCAGCGGC